RNAcentral lists this ribosomal RNA (211 nucleotides) under uncultured bacterium. Its description in RNAcentral is "partial 16S ribosomal RNA". It matches the Rfam family "Bacterial small subunit ribosomal RNA", at positions 524 to 729 of the family's 1533-position model. The record is from RNAcentral.
GACAGAGGCCCCAAGCGUUUAGGCGGAAUCACUGGGCUUAAAGCGUGUGUAGGCGGACGCCUAAGUGUCUUGUGAAAUCCCACGGCUCACCCGUGGAACUGCUGGGCAUACGUGGGCGUCUUGGGCCAACUAGGGGCAAGCCGGAACAAGCGGUGGAGCGGUGAAAUGCGUAGAUAAUCGAAGAGGAACACCUGAGGUGAAGACGGGUUGC